RNAcentral lists this ribosomal RNA (279 nucleotides) under uncultured bacterium. RNAcentral describes it as "partial 16S ribosomal RNA". It matches the Rfam family "Bacterial small subunit ribosomal RNA", at positions 1 to 278 of the family's 1533-position model. The record is from RNAcentral.
GUAUAGAUUUUGAUCAUGGCUCAGGAUCAACGCUAGCGACAGGCCUAACACAUGCAAGUUGAACGGUAAGCAGCGGAGCUUGCUCCGGCUGACGAGUGGCGCACGGGUGCGUAACGCGUAUACAAUCUACCUUUUACAGGGGUAUAGCCUUUAGAAAUGAAGAAUAAUCCCCCAUAAUAUCUUAUUAGUGGCAUCAUUAAAAGAUUAAAGCUUCGGUGGUAGGAGAUGAGUAUGCGUUCUAUUAGCUAGUAGGUAAGGUAACGGCUCACCUAGGCGACG